Molecule: long non-coding RNA, 1583 nt
Filed under: Citrus x clementina
Lineage: Eukaryota; Viridiplantae; Streptophyta; Magnoliopsida; Sapindales; Rutaceae
Description: Citrus clementina (C. clementina) long non-coding RNA (CCLE_LNC003987)
Source: RNAcentral
UUAUAAAAUAAAAUAGUCUUUUAAUUUAUUUAGGGGUAAAAUUGUCAUUUUAUUAAAAUUAUUUAAUAGUGUUAAUGCAAAAGUGGCUAGUUGAUACAAAUGUGAAAAGAAAGGUGAUGCAAAAUACAUAUUAAAAUUUUAUAGUAGUUAGAUGAACAUAAGACAAAAUAAAGGUGGUGCAAUGAUAAUUUCUCAAUAUUAAAAUUUAAUCCUUUUUUGCUAGCUAUAUUAUCUAAUAAACUCUACACAAACCCACACACAGUCUAAGUGGAUCUGGGCAUUAAUGAUCGCUCCUUUCACUUUCCACACCAUACCCCUUGGAGUAACUAAAGGAGUGGCUUGGGUAUACUUGUACUGCAUGAAAAAUACAUUUAUUGCAUGAUGAAUCUAUAUCUAUAUCUAUAUAUAUAGAGUUGAGACUUGAGGAGGUGAUGUGGCAUCACUAUUUCUCAUCUUUGUAUAUUCUCUAUUAUCUAAUAAAUAGAGAAAGUUUCUUUUAGAUUUGGCUUUUCAUCUUUUCAUAAUUAAUUUGAUUGUUAUUACACAAUAACAAUUAUGUAAAUAUUUUAAUGAGGCAUAUUCUUUGUAAUGAACAUCCAAGGGGGAGUGUUAUGAAUUUAUUAAAAUAAAUGUAGAUGUUCAUAACAUAUAUCUUUUAGUCUCCCCACUAUCUCUCAUUAGUAACCUUUAGCUUCCCUAUAACUCCUACUAUCUCACAAGGAAUUAUAAUCCAUAAUUUUUCAUUAAUUUCAUGGAGUGAUUAUGUAACUAUAAAAGGGGAGCUCAUUUUUUUAUUUUGUACACACACAAUUAGAAUGAAUAAAAUCACUCUAUAAUAUAUUCUCUCAUUUUAUUAUUUAUCUUGCGUUGCUUCUUUGUUUGUAUUGCUGGCUAUUAGCUUUUUUUGUUUUUUAUAAGGCUGUCUCAUCUAAAAAAAAAAGCAAUUUAUAUUUUUUUUUUCAGUUUCAUCAAGUGUAAAUUAAGAAAAAAAGAUAAUACUAAAUUUUUUUUUCAAAGCCGCGUGAAGCGCGGUUCUAUUUUCUAGUAUAUAUAUAAAGCUGGGACUUGAGAAUGUGAUGUGGCAUCACCAUUUCUCAUCUUUGUAUAUUCUAUAUUAUCUAAUAAAUAAAGAAUUUUUUUUUUAGAUUUGGAUUUUCAUCUUCUCAUAAUUAAUUUGAUUGUUAUUACACAAUAACAAUUAUAUAAAUAUUUUAAUAAGGCAUAUUCUUUAUAAUGAACAUCCAAGGGGGAGUGUUAUGAAUUUAUUAAAAUAAAUGUAGAUGUUCAUAACAUAUAUCUCUUAGUCUCUCCACUAUCUCCCAUUAGCAACAUUUAGCUUCCAUAUAACUCCCACUAUCUCACAAGGAAUUAUGAUCCAUAAUUUUUCAUUAAUUUCAUGGAGUGAUUAUGUAACUAUAAAAGGAGAUCUCAUCUUUUUAUUUUGUACACACACAAUUGGAAUGAAUAAAAUCAUUCUAUAAUAUAUUCUCUCAUUUUAUUCUUUAUCUUGCGUUGCUUCUUUAUUUGUAUUGCUGGCUAAUAACUUUUUUUGUUUUUUAUAAGGCUGUCUCAUCUUAAAAAAA